This 73-nucleotide transfer RNA is filed under the name Flavobacteriaceae bacterium. RNAcentral's name for it is "tRNA-Leu". It matches the Rfam family "tRNA". Rfam says of the family: Transfer RNA (tRNA) molecules are approximately 80 nucleotides in length. Lineage: Bacteria; Pseudomonadati; Bacteroidota; Flavobacteriia; Flavobacteriales; Flavobacteriaceae. The record is from RNAcentral.
GGUCUGUAGCCCAAUUGGAAGAGGCAGCGGAUUUAGACUCCGUACAGUGUGGGUUCGACUCCCACCAGACCCA